AAAAAGCCCCAUACCCUCUACGGCCCAAGUAUUGCAUAGAUCACAAGGUUUGGUAUGAAGACUACCUUCGAAGAGAAAGCCUUCUGAUAGAGGAAGAUGAGGCAGUGGAAGGACAGGAUGAAAUUCUCGAUUAU
Molecule: non-coding RNA, 134 nt
Organism: Camelina sativa (false flax)
Lineage: Eukaryota; Viridiplantae; Streptophyta; Magnoliopsida; Brassicales; Brassicaceae
Source: RefSeq, a predicted model, not a curated record